Molecule: non-coding RNA, 525 nt
Organism: Hemibagrus wyckioides
Lineage: Eukaryota; Metazoa; Chordata; Actinopteri; Siluriformes; Bagridae
Source: the annotation of a RefSeq genome assembly
GCCAAGGUAGUCAGACUCCUCCCCAGGAAAUGACAUCAUUACUUUAUAAUGAAAGAUUCAUGUUCUAUAAUAGCAUUAAAACAGCUGCAAUAAAGAGUGCUGAACUUCAACAAAUCAACAUGUUUAUAGCUAUAUAUGCUGUUCUCUUCUCUUCAGCCAUAGAAGCUGUUCUGGGAGUGACACUGGAACAAAAAGAUCUCUCCCUGACAAAAGGAGAGGGUAAAACUGUGUUUAUCAGCUGCAAAGUGACCGGAUUAGACAGUGACAACUAUGUCCACUGGUACCAAAAGAAAGACGGUGAAGCUCUCACUAGGAUCCUGUAUGUCAAAAGUGGAGGCUCACUGAUUCCUGAUGCUAACUUUAAGGAAGCAAAGGACUUCAGUUUGAGGAUACAGGCUGACAAUUAUGAUCUGAAAAUAGCAAACCUGAAGAAAAGUCACUCUGCAGUUUAUUACUGCGCCAGCUGGGACAGCUCCCACAGUGACAGUAAACAUUCAGAGUGUGUACAAAAACCCUGAUGAUACA